GCAGUCGAGCGGAUUGAUGGGAGCUUGCUCCCUGAGUUAGCGGCGGACGGGUGAGUAACACGUGGGUAACCUGCCUGUAAGACUGGGAUAACUCCGGGAAACCGGGGCUAAUACCGGAUAGUUCUUUUCCUCGCAUGAGGAAAAGUGGAAAGGCGGCUUCGGCUGCCACUUACAGAUGGACCCGCGGCGCAUUAGCUAGUUGGUGAGGUAACGGCUCACCAAGGCAACGAUGCGUAGCCGACCUGAGAGGGUGAUCGGCCACACUGGGACUGAGACACGGCCCAGACUCCUACGGGAGGCAGCAGUAGGGAAUCUUCCGCAAUGGACGAAAGUCUGACGGAGCAACGCCGCGUGAGUGAUGAAGGUUUUCGGAUCGUAAAGCUCUGUUGUUAGGGAAGAACAAGUGCCGUUCGAAUAGGGCGGCACCUUGACGGUGCCUAACCAGAAAGCCACGGCUAACUACGUGCCAGCAGCCGCGGUAAUACGUAUGUGGCAAGCGUUGUCCGGAAUUAUUGGGCGUAAAGCGCGCGCAGGCGGUCUCUUAAGUCUGAUGUGAAAGCCCACGGCUCAACCGUGGAGGGUCAU
Molecule: ribosomal RNA, 585 nt
Filed under: Bacillus sp. CH355a_12D
Lineage: Bacteria; Bacillati; Bacillota; Bacilli; Caryophanales; Bacillaceae
Description: bacterial SSU rRNA
Rfam family: Bacterial small subunit ribosomal RNA
Source: RNAcentral